This 208-nucleotide ribosomal RNA is filed under the name uncultured bacterium. RNAcentral's name for it is "partial 16S ribosomal RNA". It matches the Rfam family "Bacterial small subunit ribosomal RNA", at positions 568 to 775 of the family's 1533-position model. The record is from RNAcentral.
UGCGCAGGCGGUUCGCUAAGACAGAUGUGAAAUCCCCGGGCUUAACCUGGGAACUGCAUUUGUGACUGGCGGGCUAGAGUAUGGCAGAGGGGGGUAGAAUUCCACGUGUAGCAGUGAAAUGCGUAGAGAUGUGGAGGAAUACCGAUGGCGAAGGCAGCCCCCUGGGCCAAUACUGACGCUCAUGCAAGACUGGGGGUAGGCGAAACAG